AACGAACGCUGGCGGCAUGCCUAACACAUGCAAGUCGAACGAGACCUUCGGGUCUAGUGGCGCACGGGUGCGUAACGCGUGGGAACCUGCCCUUAGGUUCGGAAUAACUCCCCGAAAGGGGUGCUAAUACCGGAUAAUGUCUUCGGACCAAAGAUUUAUCGCCUUUGGAUGGGCCCGCGUUGGAUUAGCUAGUUGGUAGGGUAAAAGCCUACCAAGGCGACGAUCCAUAGCUGGUCUGAGAGGAUGAUCAGCCACACUGGGACUGGGACACGGCCCAGACUCCUACGCGAGGCAGCAGUGGGGAAUAUUGGACAAUGGGCGAAGGCCUGAUCCAGCAAUGCCGCGUGAGUGAUGAAGGCCUUAGAGUUGUAAAGCUCUUUUACCCGGGAUGAUAAUGACAGUACCGGGAGAAUAAGCCCCGGCUAACUCCGUG
This 433-nucleotide ribosomal RNA is filed under the name uncultured bacterium. Its description in RNAcentral is "partial 16S ribosomal RNA". It matches the Rfam family "Bacterial small subunit ribosomal RNA", at positions 29 to 507 of the family's 1533-position model. The record is from RNAcentral.